Molecule: ribosomal RNA, 684 nt
Filed under: uncultured archaeon
Lineage: Archaea
Description: bacterial SSU rRNA
Rfam family: Bacterial small subunit ribosomal RNA
Source: RNAcentral
CCGCGUCGGGAUGAAGGCCUUCGGGUUGUAAACCGCUUUUACCAGGAACGAAAAUGACGGUACCUGGAGAAUAAGGUGCGGCCAACUACGUGCCAGCAGCCGCGGUGACACGUAGGCACCAAGCGUUGUCCGGAUUUAUUGGGCGUAAAGAGCUCGUAGGCGGUUCAGAAAGUCGGGUGUGAAAACUCUGGGCUUAACCCAGAGACGCCACUCGAUACUACUGUGACUAGAGUUCGGUAGGGGAGCAGGGAAUUCCUGGUGUAGCGGUGAAAUGCGCAGAUAUCAGGAGGAACACCGAUGGCGAAGGCACUGCUCUGGGCCGAAACUGACGCUGAGGAGCGAAAGCGUGGGUAGCAAACAGGAUUAGAUACCCUGGUAGUCCACGCCGUAAACGGUGGGCACUAGGUGUGGGUUCCAACCAACGGAAUCCGCGCCGUCGCUAACGCAUUAAGUGCCCCGCCUGGGGAGUACGGACGCAAGGUUAAAACUCAAAGGAAUUGACGGGGGCCCGCACAAGCAGCGGAGCGUGUUGCUUAAUUCGAUGCUAACGCGAAGAACCUUACCUGGGUUUGACAUGUACGGAAAAGCAGUAGAGAUACUGUGUCCUUCGGGGUCGUACCAGGUGGUGCAUGGUGGCGUCAGUCGUGUCGGAGAUGUGGGUUAAGUCCGAAAGAGCGCACCCUA